GACGAACGCUGGCGGCGUGCUUAACACAUGCCAGUCGAACGGAAAGGCCCUGCUUGCAGGGUACUCGAGUGGCGAACGGGUGAGUAACACGUGGGUGAUCUGCCCUGCACUUCGGGAUAAGCCUGGGAAACUGGGUCUAAUACCGGAUAGGAGCCAUUUUUAGUGUGAUGGUUGGAAAGUUUUUUUCGGUGUAGGAUGAGCUCGCGGCCUAUCAGCUUGUUGGUGGGGUAAUGGCCUACCAAGGCGGCGACGGGUAGCCGGCCUGAGAGGGUGGACGGCCACAUUGGGACUGAGAUACGGCCCAGACUCCUACGGGAGGCAGCAGUGGGGAAUAUUGCACAAUGGGCGCAAGCCUGAUGCAGCGACGCCGCGUGGGGGAUGACGGCCUUCGGGUUGGAAACUCCUUUCGCUAGGGACGAAGCUUUUUGUGACGGUACCUAGAUAAGAAGCACCGGCUAACUACGUG
Molecule: ribosomal RNA, 466 nt
Filed under: uncultured bacterium
Lineage: Bacteria
Description: partial 16S ribosomal RNA
Rfam family: Bacterial small subunit ribosomal RNA
Source: RNAcentral